This is a long non-coding RNA of Cyprinus carpio carpio, 842 nucleotides long. NCBI's taxonomy places the organism in Eukaryota, Metazoa, Chordata, Actinopteri, Cypriniformes, Cyprinidae. The record is from Ensembl.
AUCAAAGCCACCGAGAGAGAGAACGACCAAGGGAAGGAUAGCGCAAGGAUCAGCUCCGAUCCUGCUUUCCACGGCAGGGGUCAUCGUCUCUCACCUGAAGAUAAGAUACGCUGAGCCAGAUUGGACAUGUUGAAAGGACAUGUUUCCAAUUUGACUCAUGAUGCCCCUCCCUUGUCUGCAAUCUCUCUUUUCUUCUCAUCGUCCCUCCCUAUUUUUACCAUGUCUGUCUGUCUGAAGGCUCCAUGUGUCUCACACCUGAUUAAUUCAGCUUUGGCCAAACACAGGGAUCAAUAAAUCAGUGAUGUCCGGUUUGUGAAUGAAUCAUUCUUUUGAACUGGUUCACUCAAAUCAGACUGAAUUGGAACAGUUUGUGACAGAUCUUUUCUUCCAAAUUGUUACACAACUGAAAAAGAAAAAGAAAAAAAGUAGGGCGGGGUUUGGUUAUAUGCACCUUUUUUUGAUUGGAUAAAGAGAUGAGGGCGUGGCACUCAAAAGGAGAGUUUGCAGGGUGGAGUUUAAGACAAUAAACUGAGUGGAGAAAUCCGUCGCGCUCACUGGAAGAUCUAGAAGAUCUCAGAAGUUCACCGGAAGAUGUGUAAUGUUUGAUUAAAUGUUGCAAGGUUUGUGUCAAAGUUCAGUGAUUGGCUGUGCUGCUCUGAACACAUCUGAGCUGGUUUGGCGGUCUAUUCUUCAUCCACACAUCUGGCCAAUGAACAAGCGUCCUGGACUGAAUGUGAGAACACCAGGCUGCUGCCUUUCCCAGCCUCCCGGCCCUGGAGAGCAGCGUGGACACUCCUAAUGUGGGAAUAUCCAGGAGGGGACAGGGGAGACAAUCCAAGCCA